This 1922-nucleotide long non-coding RNA is filed under the name Podarcis lilfordi (Lilford's wall lizard). Lineage: Eukaryota; Metazoa; Chordata; Lepidosauria; Squamata; Lacertidae. The record is from RNAcentral.
GCUUUCCCUGAUAGUAGGGGUUGCAGGCUCUGCCUUUCCUUGCUAAAUCCAGGCAAGACUGUAAGUGCCAACAAAACAAUAAUGAUAAAUUGAUGGCUGGAUAAACAGUGCUCAGUGUGCUACCAUUUUGCCCUGUUCUAUAGCAAAGAUGAAAUUUGGAGCAGCAACAGUAAACCUUUGUUUGGGCCUUCUCGGUGGUGACGCCCUUCCUAAGGAACACCCUCCCUCCAGAUGUCAAGGAGAUAAAGAACUAUGCAACUUUUAGAAGACAACUGCAGGCUGCCCUGUUUCAGAAAGUUUUUAAUGCUUGAUGUUUUACUAUGUUUUUAUAUAUGCUGUAAGCCACCCAGAGUGGCUGAGGAAACCCAGCCAGAUGGGCAGGGUAUUAUUAUUAUUAUUACAGCAGCAGCAGCAGCAGCAGCAGCAGCAGCAGUGGUCUACACAGUGGGCAGAAGCCACCCUCCCAACCCUAGUGCCACUGCUGUUUAUUUGGAUAGGGCUGAGACAGGGCAGCAGCAAGGUUGGGGCAGUGCCAUUACUGUGGGAGGAGUGCCACCACCAAUCCAGCCCUGUUAUCAGUGCAACCACACGGUCCUGGUUUUACAGCCCACCCUAAGUAAUCAGCAGUGAUGCUGCUGCUGUCCGGAGGGUGGCUUGGCAGCUCUGACCCACCACCCAUUCCACUGUUGGUAUGCACACAGUGUAUCCCUUUAUAGCAAAGGGCGCUGGGCUCCUGCGUGCAUGGGGAUUUGGAUGAUCCAUUUUAAAAAUAAAUAAAUCUGGGCUAUUUUUAACAACCCCUUCUGACUACUUUGGAUGUCAGCUUGAGACUUGGUUAGCACAAUGGCGGUAGAACAAAGCAGAAACAAAACACACACACGCAAAACCUUUUAAUAUAAUGUCAAACAUGUGUCUCCCACUGCAGGUCAGCCAGAUAUGUAAUAUUUGGCACAUCACACGGUAUACAGAUAUUGUAAAGAAAUGAUGAACACGGAUGCUUCUGAAGCACGUUACGGGGCUAGCCAAGGAGCUUUUUUUUGCCAAGCUCUAAAGUCUGUAGCUUUGGACAUGUUCUCUGUUCUAAUUCAGCCACUUUAUGGCUCCAGCCGUAAAAGUGAUCAAGGAUCAGGACCAGCCCUACGGCCAAAGCAUUCUAGGAGAUUUUUCAGGGCAGCGCUUUGAAGUGGGAGGCACGUUUUGUUGCAGAGAGGGAGGCCAUUUGUUUCUGGCAGUGUCUUCAUGCUUCUGCAACACCUUCCUUUUCCAAACGUAGGAUGUACACAAGAACUCCCAUAAAGGGGAGCAGGCUCAGCCUUAGAAAGAUUGUACUGGAGUCUGGUCCAUUAAGGCGAAUGGGCACAGCCCCACCAGUCCGUCUCUGCCUGCCUUCCGUGAACCCCACCUGGUCUGCCUUCUUACUUACACCCUUGUGCAAAUUAAUUGAAACAAAGCAUGUUUUCUGUCUUACUCGUAAUCCUGUACUCAAAACAAACACGAAAAGUCAGUUGAUUAUUAUGGUGUCAGAAGCCUGCAGCCAAUAGAAGGAAUGAUGCGCUCGCCACAAUAUAUUGAGGUUCUACAAAAGAGAGUUAUUCCAGAGCUGGAAAAGAGAUAUCCUGACGGUACUGGGAUACUGCAGCAGGACCUAGCCCCCUGUCACACAUCAAAAGUGAAGAAAUUCGUGACAGAGCAGCAAAUACAGGUACUUGAUUGGCCAGGGAAUUCCCCAGGCGUAAAUCCCAUUGAGAAUUUGUGGGCUAUAUGCAAAAGUCGCCUCCGUGCUGUAGACUGUACGACUAUGGAGAAGCUCAUUCAGGCACUGAUUCAAGUGUGGUACAAGGAUCUGAAAAUCAACAGUGACUGUUCGAAACAAGUAGACUCCAUGCAAAACCAUGUUCAAAUGCUGCUUAAAAAUAGCGGAG